CAGCCGCCGCGGGAAAACGUAGGGUGCGAGCGUUAAUCGGAAUUACUGGGCGUAAAGCGUGCGCAGGCGGUUAUAUAAGACAGAUGUGAAAUCCCCGGGCUCAACCUGGGACCUGCAUUUGUGACUGUAUAGCUAGAGUACGGUAGAGGGGGAUGGAAUUCCGCGUGUAGCAGUGAAAUGCGUAGAUGUGCGGAGGAACACCGAUGGCGAAGGCAAUCCCCUGGACCUGUACUGACGCUCAUGCACGAAAGCGUGGGGAGCAAACAGGAUUAGAUACCCCCGUAGUCCCUGUCUCUUAUAC
RNAcentral lists this ribosomal RNA (301 nucleotides) under uncultured bacterium. RNAcentral describes it as "partial 16S ribosomal RNA". It matches the Rfam family "Bacterial small subunit ribosomal RNA", at positions 509 to 807 of the family's 1533-position model. The record is from RNAcentral.